Molecule: long non-coding RNA, 8884 nt
Filed under: Octopus vulgaris (common octopus)
Lineage: Eukaryota; Metazoa; Mollusca; Cephalopoda; Octopoda; Octopodidae
Source: RNAcentral
UUGACAUUAACAGAAGUGACAGAAGCAGACAGGCCUGCUGCAAUAGCAACAGCUACAAUACUAUCAACAACAAGAACAGUAGUAACAAGCAUGCUGGAGAAUGGAAUAUUGAAGGUAAUAAUUUUUUUUUUUGUCUUCUUUAAAAACCUGCUAUGAACAAAAUGUAACACUGUAAUAUAUAACAAGCUAUUCUAUUAAGCGUAACAGACAUCUGUCUAGAAAAUGACUUUGUUAUGUGUAAUUAAGUAUACGGUUCUGUUAGAUGUUAGAUGUCAGUAAUAAUAUGCUACUUAAGAAAUUCAGCAUAACUUUAUAAUCCAAUAAAACUUUUAUGUAAGUGUCAUUUUCCCUUUCCUUAUUCAUCCAAUAUCUGAUUGAUCUUUACUAUUUCUAUCAUUAUUUGUAACAUUUUACUUGCUUUCUCGCUCCCUUUCUUUAUAUAUAUAUAUAUAUAUAUAUAUAUAUAUAUAUAUAUAUAUAUAUAUAUAUAUAAUAUACACACACACACAUACAUAUGUUUCUAUGUAUAAAUUUCUAAGUAAAAAUUUCUUUCCUACCUUAUACACACAUACACUUGAGUACUCUGAGAUAUUUUUAUAUGGAAAUAAAGUAAUGAACACACACACACACACACACACACACACACACACACACACACACACACACACACACACACACACACAUGCACAGACACAAUUGAUAGUGGAGGUGGGUGACUGAAAGCAUGGUAUCCAGAGAAAGAAGAGGUUGGAAAAGGUCAAAGUAGCUACUGCCUGUACUAGCAACAAAUGAUCUCUCCCUCAAAGUGAAGCGGUGGGGGAAUUAUGUGAUACAUGUGCAUGUGGUGAGAUGCUGCAUGGCACUGAAACAUGGGUCUUGAAUACAGAGGAUCUGAAAAGACAAGAAAGAAAUGAAACAAGCAUACUUCACUGGAUGUGUAAUGUUAAGGCACAUGAAUGAUGGAAUACAAAUAAGCUUUGGAAAAACUGAACAUAAGAGGAAUCAUAUAUACAGGUAUGUGAUGCAUCUGGAAGAUAACAGCUGUAUAAAGAAGUGCCACAUGUUCAAAAUGAAUGGAAUCUGUGGAAAAUGGAAACUGAGGAAAACUUUGGAUGAAGUGGAUGGAGAUUGAACUCAAGAUGUUGUCUCUCACAAAUGAGAUGAAAAAGGAACAUAUUGAUUGUGGAUAUUCAAUGCUGGAGAAGACCCAACUGCAUGUGCAAGUAUGGAAAAUUGAAUAUCAAAAAUGAUUGUAGUGAUAGAGCCUAAAAGGCAUUUUAUAUAUAUAUAUCUUUUACUCGUUACAGUCAUUAGACUGUGGCCAUGCUGGGGCACCACCCCGAAGAAUUUUAGUUAAAUGAAUCAACCCCAGUACUUAUACUAUCACUCCCUUUGGAGCUAAGUUACAGGGAUGUUAACACACCAACACCAGUUGUCAAGCGAUGGUGGGAGACAAAUACAGACAGACAGACACAUGCACAUACACAUAUAUAUACACACACAACAGGUUAUCUUCAGUUUGCCAACCAAAUCCAUUCACAAGGCUUUGGUCAGCCUGAGGGGUAUAGAAGGCACUAGCCCAAAGUGCUAUGCGGUGGCACUGAAUCUGGAGCCAAGUUGUUGGGAAGUAAACUUCUUAUCACACACCCUCACCUGCAUCUAUAUAUAUAUAGUUGUGUAAAUGUGCAUAAACAACAAAUUAGGGAUUUAUCUCUUAGGAAAGUCCCAAGCAGCAAACAUCUAGAUAUUUGUGCAAAUGGAAAAUUUAAAAUAUUCCCAUUUUACAAAAUAAAUGAUAAAAAUGAUCAAAUAUGAUCAAAUACUUUAUAAGAAUUCUAAAUCUUACAUAUUCCCUUUUUACAAAAUAUUAGAUAAAAAUGAUUAACAAUGAAAGACAAAGGAAGAAUACUUUAUGAAAACCCUAAGUCUGAAAAUAAACUGGAAAUAGUUAAUACUACCACUACUCCAAAAAUAACAACUUUCUCUUUCAUACUUUAUCCAAGAACAUGUGUUUGAAAAGAUAAUCGAAAACAUCUACUCACACUAGAAAGAAACUUCUUCCACAAAGGUUAGUGACAUUCUGAUAAAGAAUUUAUAGCUUAAAAACCCCCCAGCUUUUUUUAUACUUAUUAAAACUGUAUUAAGCAAUUUUCAUAAAGGCUUUUAUAUAUAUAUAUAUAUUUGUCUUGCAAGUUACUUGGUGACCCUGUCAGUCCAGGUGCCACUUAAAAUGCAUCCAGUCUACACUGUAAUGUCGUUAGCAUUUGGAAGGGCAUCCAGCUGUAAAAACCUUGCCUGAGCUUGUGCCACGUAAAAAACACUAAGUCCACUCUGCUAAGUGGUUGGUGUUAGGAAGGGCAUCUAGCUGUAAAAAUCUUAUCAAAACAGUCAUUGAAGUCUGGUGCAGGCAUCUGCCCAGCCAGCUCCUGUCAAACCGUCCCACCCAUGCCAGCAUGGAAGGCAGACAUUAAACUAUGAUGAUUAUGAUGAUGAUGAUGAUAUAUAGAUACAUACAUACUGUCAAAUCUGCACCUGCUACCUCCCCUGAAUUGUGGAUGCAGUCUCUUCUCUCCAUCAUUCAUGCAGUUCAUAUAAUGAUAGAUAGUAGAAGUUUACAAUCAUCAUCUUCUUCCAAUGAUCCACAAGGCCUCUGUAUAAAAUGAAAAUGUAUCAGAUCUGUUUGUACACAAUACACUCAACCUUCAGCUUUUCUGUAUUGCCAGUCAUCACUCACUCUCUCCUGGGUCACUUCUUAUUGUCAUCCACCACUUACUUUUACUAUUGUUCACCUCAUCAUCUUCUCCCCUCUUAUUCCAAUGAGUUCAGCAAGGAGUUUAGCAUGCAGACAUGCAAGCAAAACCCGGGAUAGCAAGGCAUCAAAGUAAAUUUAGCAAAGAUUUAAGUUUUAGUAAGUUGGAAAGAAAGCAGGACCUUGCUGUUAUGAGGGAAUUGGGCAUGCUCAAUAUAUAUUUUUUUUAAUCUUUUUAUACUGGUUUCAAUUACUAGACUGCUGCCAUGCUGGAGCACUGUCUUGAAAGAGAUGGACCCCUGUACAUAUUUUUAUGUCUGGUACUUAUUCUACCAGUCUCUUUUGCUGAAGUGUUAAGUUACAGAAAUGUCUGGCUGCUUCCCAACUACAUAGUUCAGGGUUCAGUCCCACUGUGUGACACCUUGGGCAAGUGUUUUCUACUAUAGCCUCAGGCCCACCAAAGCCUUGCAGAUGGAUUUGGUAGAUGGAAACUGAAAGAAGCCCAUUGUAUAUAUGUAUUAUCAUCAUCAUCAUCAUCAUUUAGCAUCUGCUUUCCAUGCUGGCAUGGGUUAGAUAGUCUGACUGGAAUUGGUAAGCUGGAGAGCUGUACCAGGUCUGUCUAUUUGACAUAGUUUGUAUGGCUGAAUGCCCUUCCUAACACCAAUCACCUCAAGAGUGUAACGAGUGCCUUUUAUGUGUCACCAGCACCAGCUAUGACUAUGAUUUCACUUGGUUUAAGAAGUCUUUUCAAGCAUAGCAAAUCACCAAAGGUCUCAAUCACUCAUCAUCGUCUCCGCCCAACAUUCAAAGAUCAUGCUUCACCACCUCGUCCCAGGUCUUCCUGGGUCUCUGUAUUUUUGCUUGUUCCACCAUCACUGCUUGACAACCGGUGUUGGUGUGUUUAUGUCCCAGUACCUUAGUGGUUCAGCAAAAGAGACCAAUAGAGAGUAAGUUUUAAAAAAAGUACUGGUAUCGAUACAUUUGACGAAAAUUUCAAGGCAGUGCCCCAACAUGGCCACAGUCAAAUAACUGAAACAAAUAAAAGAUAAAAUCUAACAACAGCUAUAGAGUGGGGCAAACAGAGACACAAGGACACACACACACACACAUACUACAGACUUCUACCAAAUUCACACAGAAGGCAUUGGCUGACCCAGGGCUAUAGUAGAAGACACUUGCUUGAGUUGUCAUGGAAUAUGGAAUAAACCCCAAGUCAUGUGGUCACAGAGUGAGCUUCUUAACCACACAGUCAUGCCUGUGCCUAGAGAAAGGAUAGAGGUUCUGUAUGGUGUAUUUAGCAGAUUCACAGGCCGCCAGAAAAGGUUUGACUUUCUAUGUGGUAGGUACACCAGAGUAAUUAGCAGUAAAAGUGCAUGCAAAAUAAAUUCCUUCAAAUAUUUAGAAAGGCUCCCUAGAAGUAAUUAACAGUUUUUGUUAUAACUAAUCCACUGCUAUUUAGGUGACCCAAUUAGCAGUAGGAAUGGGUGUACAGAUAGCAUAGUAACCUAAGUAAGAACAUGGUGGGAAAAGUUCAAAGAGUUAUUAUAUCUACUAGCAACAAAAGAUACAAGCAUCAUAUAAUCUAUCUUUUACUUCAGAGUAGAGGAAAGAUUGUAUGAGGUUUAUGUAUGAAGUGCGAUGCUGUAUGGUUGCAAGAUAUGAGCUUAGACUGAUAAAAAUUUGUGAUGAUUGGAAAAAAAAAAAAAGUGAGCAUCUUAUGGUCUGUUUGUGUGUGUAUUCUUUUCUACUCUAGGCACAAAACCCGAAAUUUUGGGGGAGGGGUGGGGGCAGUUGAUUAGAUCAACUCCAGUAUGCAACUGAUACUUAAUUUAUCAACCCCCAAAAAGAUGAAAGGCAAAGUUGACUUCGGCAGAAUUUGAACUCAGAAGUGAGCAUGAAUGGCAGAGCACAAAUGAGGUGAGGGAAUAGUUGGAUAAAUAAGGAAUUGGAUGUAGUGCAUCUUCAAGAUGCUUCUGUUUCACUUUCAUCAGUGUGUCCAAAGAUGAAACAGUAUUUAUAUGUGUAUAAUAGGAACAGGCAUGGCUGAAUGUUUAAGAAGUUUGCUUCCUGACAAUGUGGUUCCAGGUUCAUUCCUACUGCAUGGCACCUUGUUUUCCUUUCGGUUGGACCCAGGUGUCUCUAGUCUUCCUGCAGACAACCUCUCUCAUGCUGGUGGCAUAAUAAAAUUUAUUCAGUCCAUGCACUAAAUUAGUUUGGUGAUAGGGAAAGUAUCUAGCAGAAAAACAAAAAUCCUGAAAAAGAAACCCUAACCCUAACAACAUAUGCCAGGCAUGGCUGUGUAGUAAUAAGUUUGCUUCCCAACCACAUGACACCUUGGGCAAGUGUAUUCUACUAUAGCCUCAGGCUGACCAAAGCCUUGUGAUGGAUUUGGUAGACAGAAACUGAAAGAAGCCAGUUGUAUAUAUAUAUAUAUAUAUAUAUAUAUUUAUGUGCAUAUGUCUUUGUGUCUGUGUUUGUUUCCUGCCACUGCUUGAUAACCAGUGUCGGUGUGUUUACAUCCCCAUAACAGUGGUUCAGCAAAAGAGACCAACAGACUAUGUAUCUGGCUUUAAAAAAAAAUAGCUCUGGUGUCAGUUCAUUCAACUAAAAAUUCUUCAAGGUGGUGUCCCAACAGGCUUAAUGACAGAAACGAGUAAAAGAUAAAAGAUAAGGAAGUUGGCCAGUUUUUUUCUGUUGCUAUAUGUACAAGAUGACAAGGACCAUGAUGAAUAAGCAAGAUGCAGUAAGAUUCAUUCAAACUAUGCCAUCAUGGGAAGUUGGAUGUAAACUGAUAAACUGAUGUUAAUGAUAAUGAUGAAGAGGAUGAUUUAAGAGACAUCCAAUUAAGUCACUCAUGUGGUCCUUUUUCUUUAAAAACUUACUUGUUUCAUUACUCUUUUUUAUAUUUAACCCUUUGAGCCUGCAGCACCAGUUUAUCAGUGGAUGGCUUAUUUUUCUCUAUACCGUAACACUGCUCUACUGGUGGAGUGCAUCUGGAAGCCAGAUAUAUGGUCAAAUAAGGUUCAGGAAGUCAGGGUUCAAAGGGUUAAGUGUCACAGACCUAGAAUGAAACAAAUGAAACCAUGAGGUAGCAGAAAAUGAAAACAAAAUUACGGGGUGGGGGUGGGGGAUGAGAAAUGCAAGAGAGGAAACAUUUUUCAAAGUGACAUUAAAACUGAAAUAAUUAGAGCGUGUCAAAUGAUUCUGAUAUUUGACAAUUUUCCUAUUUGCCUAUUUUGUUCUAUGACAUGCAACAGGAGCUAAACAAAUACAAUGUCACCACUUUGAAAAAAAAAUGCAAAUUUGUGAAUGAAUGAGUCGUGUAACAGGAGCUAAAUAAAUACAAUGUCACCACUUAAUAAAAGAAAAAUGCAAUUUGUGAAUGAAUGAGUAAUUUACACUUGAAUCUAUGCAAUAAUUUAUUAUUUCAACAUCAUUCUUUGUGUUUUCAAAUUCAAAAUAAACAAAUGAACAAAAAAUGAUGUAAACACACAAACACACAUGCACAAAUUAACAUUUACAGUUUAAAAUUAAGUGUGGCAUUCAAAUUCAUCAUCAUCAUCAUCAUCAUUUAAUGUCUGCUUUCCAUGCUAGCAUGGGUUGGACGAUUUGACUGAGGACCGUCAAACCAGAUGGCUGCACAAGGCUCCAAUUUGAUCUGGCAGAGUUUCUACAGCUGGAUGCCCUUCCUAAUGCCAACCACUCUGAGAGUGUAGUGGGUGCUUUUACAUGCCACUGGCACGAGAGCCAGUCAGAUGGGAUAGGCAAUGGCCACGCUCAAAUGGUGUUUUUUAUGUGCCACCUGCAGAGGAGCCAGUCCAGUGGCACUGGCAGAAUGGAAAAAAGAGCCAAAAGAAAGUAGAAGCUAUUUAAACAGAUCAUUAAUCCAUAUCAACAAAAAUUAAAAUUAAAAAAAAAAAAAUUCUUUCUACUAUAGGCACAAGGCCUAAACUUUUGGUGGUAGAGGGCUAGUCAAUUACUUUAAGCCCAGUGCUCAUAUGGUACUUGUUUUAACAAAUCCAAAUGGAAAAAAGGCAAAGUCAACCUCACUGAAAUUUGAACACAGAACAUAAAGAUAGAUGAAAUGCCUUUUGCCCAGCAAGUUAACAAUUCAACCAGCUCGCAGCCUUUCAAAAUAAUGAAAAGAAAAUUGUUUUGAUUUUCUUUUCCUAUCUAACACUGUUUUUAAAAAGCCUGAUAUUAUUUUACUGGUGUCAGUCACUGGACCGUGACAAAGUUGAGUCAGUACCUUCAACCCCAUUGCUUGUUUCAAUACGAUACUUAUUUUUAAAAAUUUCUAUGUGGUGAACCAAUAAGUUAUUUAGUAUAAGGGACACAGCAUAAGCAACAACACAUACAGAGAUAUGUAUGAAUAUAUCUAAUCUCAAACAACUAUUCAUUUGACCCAUGCUAGCAUGAAAAAGAAACAUUAAAUGAAUGAAUGAACACAUGUGUGUGUGUGUGUGUGUGUGUGUGUACAUAUACCAACAUUGUCAUAAACAUCAACAUCUUUUUAAUGCAGAUUUUAUAAUCUUUGAAUACUUUUCCUGUCACCUGUUUCCAAGCAAGGUAAUAUUUCUCCAUGGUGAGACAUGUUUUCAUAGAUGAUUUGAAAUGAAGGACAGUGCUUGUAUGACAGUGAUCCUUACUUUACAACCACAGUGUGGUGUCCAAGGAAAGGACACACACACACACACGGGAUCCAGGGAAGUUAUCUAAAUUCCAUUCACAAGGUAUUGAUCAAGUUGAGGCUGUAUUAGAAGACACUCGGUCAAAGCAACGUGCAGUGCAACUGAUUCUGGAACAAAAUGGGUGUCAAGCCAACUUCUUAGCUACAUAGUAAUGAUAUCAACUUGAAAUUACUCAAGUGAAAUAAUUUAGGUCCACAAUUAGAAAUUAUUCAACGAACGACCUAUCUCUACUAUGGCAACAAUAAUAUCCCAUUAGGCUUGAGAAGAUAAAUCCUUCUGAAAACAAAUGUUGUUUCUUUUUUUCUGAAUUGUUUUGUUAUCAUUCUGAACUGUUGUGUCAUCAACUAACCAAAAUGAGUAACUAGCUAGCAAGCUACUUUACCAGUACACUAACUAAUUAACUUUUCCUCUAUUGUCCAACCAUAUGUAAUGAAAUAUUUUUAUUAAUAUAUAUCUAUAUACUCACUCCUUGCACCAACUAAUUCUUCUUUAUCUACUGCUUCUAUUUAAACUAAUAUCAACAUCAACACCUUUUUCUUUUAUACAGAUAUAGUAUCUUCAACUUACUAAAUAAUACAGCAAAAUGCGACAAGACGCUCUUCUAAAGGUAGUGUCCAUUAUAAACUUAUUCAGAAGUUUACUUUAUUAUUUUAAAUGCUUUCUUCGAGUCUUAAAAUUAACCUCAUAUCUUAUACAUUUGCUAUAAUUUUAUAUUACAUUCUCUUCUUUGUAAUCAAUCUAUUUUAGUUGUCUUCUUCAAACAGAAAAAAAACCCCUCUAAACGACAAAAAUGAAAAAAAAACAUUCAUAAUCAGUUGUUUUAUACAUUAUGAAAUUUCAUCAAUACACGGUACUGAGUUUACAACAAAUUUUAUUACAGUCAGGUCAACACCCUCUACAACAUUUUUUCUGUUCCCUUUUCUUUAUAUUGCUUACAUCUUUAUUUAUUUCAACAUUUUACUUGAAUGUUGUUCAACAAAAAAAGAGUUUCUUCCUGUUACAGAACAGCUUUGUCUUAUAAAUCAACACUGAAUAAUAAUUCGUUUAAAUACUUUCUGCCAAAUUCAAUGUUUCUGCCCUCUUCUUUUCCCAAGCAUCUCUAAUCAAGCUGUUACAGAAAAUAUUCUUUAUUUUCUAUAUAUUUCUCAUGCAAGUUCUCUUUUUUUGCUUUACUUUAUUCGAUCAUAUCUCUGCUUAAAUAAUCAUUUGAGGAGCACCAUGUCAUCAUUAUCAUUAUAUCAACAUCUGGUUUUCUAAGCUGACAUGUAUAUGAUAUCAUCAUUCUCUUUACAUAUAUCUGUGUGAGAGUGUGUAAGCAUAUUUCUUUUGUUUUGUUAAUUUUUUCUACAGCUGUUUUCCAUGCUAACAUGGAUUAGGUGAAUAUAUCAUUGAGGCAUUGUUUGAAAAACCAGAUGGCCUACUCGUUGCUAAUACUGUUUUAACA